RNAcentral lists this ribosomal RNA (332 nucleotides) under Staphylococcus aureus. RNAcentral describes it as "partial 23S ribosomal RNA". It matches the Rfam family "Bacterial large subunit ribosomal RNA", at positions 1057 to 1394 of the family's 2925-position model. The record is from RNAcentral. Lineage: Bacteria; Bacillati; Bacillota; Bacilli; Caryophanales; Staphylococcaceae.
UGUUAAGUGGAAAAGGAUGUGGCGUUGCCCAGACAACUAGGAUGUUGGCUUAGAAGCAGCCAUCAUUUAAAGAGUGCGUAAUAGCUCACUAGUCGAGUGACACUGCGCCGAAAAUGUACCGGGGCUAAACAUAUUACCGAAGCUGUGGAUUGUCCUUUGGACAAUGGUAGGAGAGCGUUCUAAGGGCGUUGAAGCAUGAUCGUAAGGACAUGUGGAGCGCUUAGAAGUGAGAAUGCCGGUGUGAGUAGCGAAAGACGGGUGAGAAUCCCGUCCACCGAUUGACUAAGGUUUCCAGAGGAAGGCUCGUCCGCUCUGGGUUAGUCGGGUCCUAA